Molecule: ribosomal RNA, 116 nt
Filed under: Lates calcarifer (barramundi perch)
Lineage: Eukaryota; Metazoa; Chordata; Actinopteri; Centropomidae
Source: RNAcentral
GCUUACGGCCACACCACCCUGAGCGCGCCCGAUCUCGUCUGAUCUCGAAGCUAAGCAGGGUCGGGCCUAGUUAGUACUUGGAUGGGAGACCGCCUGGGAAUACCAUGCCGUAAUGU